CUUAAAAAUGAAACACCACCUCACGCCUGUACUUUAUACCAUCGCGACAACUUGACAGUCGACUUUUGCAGAAUCGGAGUUAUAAGGAUCGCUUCACUUAGGACACACCCCGCUCUCCACCCCCGUUUCCCGCUCCCUGUGAAACGUGAAGGUUGAGGAAACAUUUAGUCCAUAUUAUCAAAAACGGAAAGAAUUUUCUUUUGAUCAGGAAGGUUAAAAAAUGCGUUUAGACAAACUAACCAAAGAUUUUUAAACAAAUGCAGCGUGGCGGGGUGCGGAGCCUAUCCGGUGAGCUACCGGCACAAGUUGGUACAGAAAAUGGAUGGAUGGAUUUUAAAAUCCAGUCGAUUUUUUUGCAAAGUGGGGCAACGCAGUGUACUGGUGAGCCCACUCGAGUACGAGUGACAAAAGAGAAUCUAGACUUUUCCAAGCGGAUCGAAAAUCAUGCAUUUGUUGAGACAUUAUAGGCUAGGUGUAUGUGUGCGUGUUCAGUGGGCAACAUUCCUCAGGUUGAACUGUCACGAGAGCUUCAUGUUUGUCCGGUUUUAGAAAGCUACAUAUUACACAAUUUAAUCCCGCCCAUUUGAUUAUUUUAUCCUCUAUAGCGACGGGUACAUUUUUAAAGCAUCGGAACAAUACAGUGUACCUGAAUAUUUUUCCACAUAAUAUUCUAUUACAACACAUUAGCCGACCAAUGCAAUACAAACUGUGGCUAGUUAUGUGUAUUGCAUAUUAUUUAUUUACAUUAAAUUCACAAUUGUGAACAGUUAUCCUACGCCAUGCAAAUCUGAAAAUAUAUUUCUUCUUCAGAUCAGAUUUUCAGAUAAGUGCAAAUGUCAGGUAUGAAACAAAUGAACUAUGAAUUCACAUCUUGCAAAGAUUUAGUUCUGAAAGAAAAAGUCCAGGUCCACCUAUCUUCUCAGUUCCAUCCCAGGUUAACUAACACGUCCUCCCGUCCAUGUUUCUUAGUCUAGAUAUCUUCUCCAUACCCUCUAUGCAUGAAUAUAUAUGUCUUAUGAUAACUCUUGACGGACAUAACAGGAAGAAAACGUGUUAAAUUUCUGGAGAGCUACCUGCAGGCUUGACCACAGGUACACAGUGACUUACCUCGGUGGGUGGCAGUCUGCUAUAUUGCAGUGAAGGAAAGGUGAAGCCUGACACCUCUGUGCAGCGGUAUUUGCAUGCAGGUCUACCUCGCUAUCCCCCUUGACCCUAUACUGAUAAGCAGUUGAAGCCUGGCUGAAGGGGUUGCAUGGAUGGGUCUCAAUCCACCUGUCGGGUAUAACUUGUAAAAUUUUACUCUUUAAUUGAAAUGAAGUUGAAAUGCUUGCGAUAAUGAUUUUUUUGCUUUGUUUCUUCGAACUGUCGCUUCCAAAAGACACUGAGGAAUUUCCCUUCGUUGGCCCAAACAGCACGGCCACGGCUGUCAAGCACAGGCGACUCAGCUGCUCCCUCGCUCCGCUUUGGUAGCUGAACCGCCGGAAAGAACAAGCAGACAAGCCACUCGGAUGCUGUAUUAGCCACCAUCUGCCACCAUGUUGAUAUUGUGGCUUUGGAAUUUUUCAGUUCUAAGUCAUUUACUAGAAAACACCAAGAAUUAUAAUUGGACUGUCUUUCAACGUGCAUAAAGAGCAGUUGUCAUGGUGUCAGUUCUGAUUACAUGUGCUUAGAAGACAAAUCUCACAAAGAUCUAAUCAUAGAUAAUAAUAUAAUAUAUAAAUCAUUUAAGCUUAUAAGUGUAGGUUAUCUGUGUAAUGCUUAUCUGUGUAAUAUAUCUAAACACACCUAUUCUGUUAACUGUAUGGAAAUUGCUAGGUUCACUUCUGGUGGUUUGGGAAAGGAGACUUUUGGAAGAAACGAAUUGUCUUAACUUGUGAGUUUUAAUUCUUGGAACCUUUGGAUGGACAUCGAAGGUACUGUUGGGCAAACACUGUGGUAUUUAUGAUAGUUGGCUGCUUUGAAUUGAAAACAAAGACGACAAACGUUGUUUUCUGUUGAAUCGCGAAUGAGAUUCUCACCAAGCUUCUGCUCCACUUGCCUUCAUAGACCCACGGGAACAGCGGUGAGCGUAGCUUCCCAUACGGUAACGCUGGCCCUUUUCCAUGACACUUAUGCUCACCACAGCACGGAGCACGGAACGCUUGGGGCACAGAACACUCACGAUCCAGAGAACCGCAAGCAUGGGUUAAUAUGCAUGACCGAGCUGUUUUAUGUGAUAUGACAACCAAUAGACUGAAAAGGAGAAAGUACUGAAGAAAAUCUGUGAAAAUAAAAUGAAGCAUAGUCAAGUGUGCCGAGAAUGUAUCAUACUGCUAUACAUCUAUUCUGACCCAUAGGACUGUUCCUGGCUGCACUGGUCAUACUGCAUUUCCAUUCUUUAUACUGGGAAUCUUAACCUGAACCUGUCACUGAAUUAUCAGAUCAGUAGAAUGUUUCAGUUCAGUGUUCAGUGCUGUGUCCAUCAUCCCAUAUAAAGCAUCCUCAAUUUGUUUUGUGCUGCUGAAAAAAAAAAUCAUAUGAGGAUUUUUUUUAGAUCUAUCAUGCACUACAAUGAUAAAUACAAUACAUAUGCAUGGGAAAAACUUUAUUUAAAGCUAUUAAAGUUUUCUAAUGGCUGUGCCCCUU
This is a long non-coding RNA of Brienomyrus brachyistius, 2625 nucleotides long. RefSeq lists it as uncharacterized. Lineage: Eukaryota; Metazoa; Chordata; Actinopteri; Osteoglossiformes; Mormyridae. The record is from RefSeq and is a predicted model, not a curated record. The transcript is spliced from 2 exons.